UACGAAGGGGGCUAGCGUUGCUCGGAAUUACUGGGCGUAAAGCGCACGUAGGCGGCUUUCUAAGUCGGGGGUGAAAUCCUGGAGCUCAACUCCAGAACUGCCUUCGAUACUGGAAAGCUCGAGUCCGGGAGAGGUGAGUGGAACUGCGAGUGUAGAGGUGAAAUUCGUAGAUAUUCGCAAGAACACCAGUGGCGAAGGCGGCUCACUGGCCCGGUACUGACGCUGAGGUGCGAAAGCGUGGGGAGCAAACAGGG
This 254-nucleotide ribosomal RNA is filed under the name uncultured bacterium. Its description in RNAcentral is "partial 16S ribosomal RNA". It matches the Rfam family "Bacterial small subunit ribosomal RNA", at positions 524 to 777 of the family's 1533-position model. The record is from RNAcentral.